CUGCCCACAGUGCUUUUCCAUGGCCGCAGUGCCCUUCCCACACCAAGGCCUAGCUGCCUUCCUGAUCUCCAGCUUUCUUUUUGGCUAAUCUUCCCAGUCCACAAAUAGUUGCAUCUUAAGAAUAGAGCACGGUUCUCGUCCUCGGUUUGACAUACUACACUACUGGCAAGGAUGUAUUCUUGGGACAGCUUUUUAAAGUCUGUCUGCAAAGAGCACCAAGAUUAAAUGCGUCUCCGCAGCCUGAACGGAGAUGGCAAUUUUCACAAAGAACGGUCCUGCAGGCCAAGGGGACCACAGCUUGGGCUGAACACGCGUCAGUUGGUCUAGACAGCGACUGCUCUAAUUUCGGAAGUGCAGGCGAUCAGUAAAGCCAGCGAGCGGCAUGACUGUAGCUUCAUCUAUUGUGGACACGAUUAAGAACACAUUCAUGAACUGCCCAAUGCCAAUGCCCUGUUUUCAGAAGGCGUGUCCCCCAUACCUGGCUUCAGGAUACCACCUUAUAAGAAGCAAGCUGUGACAGCUCCCAGCCCCGAGCCCCUUUGCUGAAUUAGGCACUUUUCACCAUGUUCUAGCAUCAUCUAUGGUAUAGUCAUUAAAAGCACAGAGUCUGGAUUCAGACUGCCUGGGUGGGAACUCUGUCACAGCGAAUUGCUCCGAAUUUCCACUUCCUCAGCUGUAGAACAGGCAUGCAGAGAGUUCAGCACUCCGAAUACCCUGCUCCCCAAUUUUUUAUGAAGAUCAAAUGAAUGAAUCCAGAAAAGACAACCUUGAACUAUUGUACUAAAAUCUGCUUGGAUGGAGAGUGAUUCAUGGAAAUGAAAUCAGAAGAACCACUGAACUGUCUAGUGAAGAGACUGAAGUUGCCUUCAGGGCCCAGACAGCAGAGUUCCCUCGAUUCUGCAGCAGUCUUACUUUAGCCCAAGAAGGAAAAGAGCCUGAAGACUCUACCAAGAGACCAGCAAUGACACAGUCAACAGGCAGCAGAACCAAAAGCCAAAGCAGGCUCUAGGCGGAGCUUCAAUGACUCCAAAUACAUUCGCUCAUUUGAACUUCUCAACAUGUCCUCCUUCGACUCUGCCUCCUCAUGCAGAUUAAGAAACAGACCUAAGUCCUCGCCAUCCUUGCCACUGAUAAAGUGAAACCAGAAAGCAAGAUGAAGCUCUGUUUUUCCCCAGUAUCCCACUGGGGAAGGUAGACAUUUUGCUAAGGAUUUUGUGGAGAGACCCAGAAAAUGGUUUCCAUCAUACGUUGCGUGAUGAAACCUCAAAAACUUCUCCUUCGGCAUUUCCAAUCUUUCUCCUGGUGCUCUCUCUAAACAGCGAUGGGUCCACGUGGUUUCUGAAUGGAUUUUCUCACACCCGAUUUUGCACCCUCAUUCCCUUCCUCUCAGGCAGUCUUCCUGGAUGCCUCAGAAAGAGAAACUGAGUCAUCAGUCAAGUCACAGUGUCACUCUGUCCUGAUUUCUUCUCCAGAGUAUCAAGUAGCAAACUGCCAGGGAUAUAAGCUCUUUGGGGGAUGAAUGCAAACAUCACUGGGUCAUUUGCCAGUAAAUCAUUUCCAAAUGUAGUAAAUUCGGAUAAUUGAACCUAUCUAUCCACCCAUGGGAAGCAAACCCUUCCCAGUUAGUAGUAACUGACACACUCAGUCACGUGGGCAAUUGCUCCUCUUGGACAACAACUAAUUGAUAUACUCUUCCACAUGUAAACAUUUGAAUGUUAACUCUCUGCACUUGCAUGUUCUUUUGGUUUCAACCAAUUCUGUAGGGAGGGGGGAAAAGACUGAUUGGCUGAUUGAAUAAUAGAGAGCCAAAAUAAAUAAGAAAAACUGUACAGAAACAAUUUAAUUUUCCAGCGGACCCAUUCACCGAGUUUGGGUACCAGCCAUCUUUUUCUUGAUGAUCAAUCCUAACACCUGAAAAUACUCGCAUGAGAAACUAUUUUUCUAGAUUUGGUCCUUUUUCUAUGAAUCUGAGUAAACCAUUCACCUUCACUAAAAGCAGGACCCUAGGUUGUUUUCAAAGCUAGAGCUAUUGGUAUCCAUUGGUUACAAGUCAAUAUUGAUAUGAGAUUUUGUUACCUAAGAAUCUCCCAAUAGAAUUUUGUCUCUGACAGCCAAUCCUUCUUUGUUCAUGCUCCAGUCUGUUCUCAUUUCCUCCCAGCCAGAACUAGUAAGGGCACGGCAUUCAUGUUCAGUGUGGUGCCACCAAAACCAGAGAGUGGAUUGGCAUCUCCUCCAUCACUACCACCUUAAUGUCACCUCUUCCCAGGCCACUCAAAGUCAAAGGAAAACACAUGAGUCUAGAUAUAUGCAGUCUCUGGAAACUGUCAAUUGCCCUGUAAAUGGAAUACACCAUAAUCACGCAAAUGGUUCUUCUUGUUCAUUUAUGCUGCACUCUAAACCCCAUGCUGUGCUGAAAUCCUCACAUAGUCAACGUUUCAAUGUUGCUGCAGAUCUGAGCUGUUAAUGUUACAUGUUGAAUUUUCUUUUGCCAUUUCCACUCACAUUCCAAACACCUUGUGUGAAACCAGCAUUCUUGUUAAUUAUUUUUCAUAUCACAAGCAUUUCAGUCUUGCUAUUACAGAGGACCAUAUAACUCAAUGUCCAAAAUGCUACAAAAGAUAAUGCUGUUAUUAAUUAUUCAAGGACUUAAAGCAAGAACUGAGACUGUGCUAGGCAAACCAGGAUGUGUGGUCAGGCUGACUACAAGCCUCCUAUUAUGGAAACUCUGUUUCAAUGCCUGUGUUAUUUUAUA
Long non-coding RNA from Callithrix jacchus (white-tufted-ear marmoset), 2752 nucleotides. RefSeq lists it as uncharacterized. NCBI's taxonomy places the organism in Eukaryota, Metazoa, Chordata, Mammalia, Primates, Cebidae. The record is from RefSeq and is a predicted model, not a curated record.